UAUAACUGGUUGGACACAUCAGCAUGGUCUCGACGAGUCAUUCCCUCACCUAUAGCACUCUUCAUCAGCCGUGAGAGCGAUGGGAGCACAUUAAUAGGCGGGUAUAUCUGCCGAUUGUAAAGUUGCCUAUCAAUGUAUAUCUGACCCUCCCAGUAAGAUCUGGAGUUGGGUGUGUGAUAUCAUCAUUAGGCAUAGUUAAGAUUGGAAU
This 208-nucleotide unclassified non-coding RNA is filed under the name Hevea brasiliensis (rubber tree). The record is from RNAcentral. Lineage: Eukaryota; Viridiplantae; Streptophyta; Magnoliopsida; Malpighiales; Euphorbiaceae.